This 340-nucleotide RNase P RNA is filed under the name Oscillospiraceae bacterium. RNAcentral describes it as "RNase P RNA component class A". It matches the Rfam family "Bacterial RNase P class A". Rfam says of the family: Ribonuclease P (RNase P) is a ubiquitous endoribonuclease, found in archaea, bacteria and eukarya as well as chloroplasts and mitochondria. Its best characterised activity is the generation of mature 5'-ends of tRNAs by cleaving the 5'-leader elements of precursor-tRNAs. The record is from RNAcentral. Lineage: Bacteria; Bacillati; Bacillota; Clostridia; Eubacteriales; Oscillospiraceae.
UGAGGGGAGCGGACGGUCGCGGGCACGCGGAAACGUGCGCGAGGAAAGUCCGGGCUGCACAGGGUAAGGAUAGCGGGUAACGCCCGCCGGAGGCGACUCCAGGACAAGUGCAACAGAAAUAGACUGCCGAGCGGUAACGUUCGGCGAUGGUGGAAAGGUGAGGUAAAAGCUCACCCGCGGAACGGUCAAACGUCUCCGUGCUGUAAACUCUAUCCGCAGCAACGCGGGAAGCUAUGGGUUGCCCGCCCGCUUCCUACAUCGGCUCGAGCACGGCGGCAACGCCGCGCCUAGAUAGAUGACCGUCGACUACAGAACCCGGCUUACAGCUCCCACUCAAACU